CGAGAUGUAGUUCAGUUGGUUAGAAUGCUGGUCUGGGGGACCAGUGGUCGGGCGUUCGAGUCGCCUCAUCUCGACAA
This 77-nucleotide transfer RNA is filed under the name Prevotella disiens FB035-09AN. Its description in RNAcentral is "tRNA-Pro". The record is from RNAcentral. Lineage: Bacteria; Pseudomonadati; Bacteroidota; Bacteroidia; Bacteroidales; Prevotellaceae.